GUUCUGUGACAAAGAUGUAGUUCAGCACUUUUCCAGUUACAAAGGAAACAUGAGCAGUACACACAUAUGAGACACUUCAGUCUUGUGAGAAGCAGUUCUUGCAGGGUUUCCUGGACAGGACCAAGAACCACUGGAAAUAUUCAGAUAAUUAACUGGAAAUCAUGAAAGCAGACUGUCUGGCAGGUUCUGUUUUGAAUAAACUUUGGAUUGAAAGUAAACUUUUCAGAAUCCUAGGAAAUAGCGUAUGCUUUGAGGGGAAAAAGAAAUACCAUCAAGUGCCUUGAAGUCCAGAUCAGUGCAGACUGGUGGUCCUGCUAACUGCCACUUCCAGAACUGCUUUUUGGAUCAGUUCUCCAUGGAACGAGCCAUCCUCAUGCCUGCUGAAAGAGCUUUCCCGACCUUUGGCUUGCUCUGCCAGCACAGAAGGACCAGGGCUGCAGCCAGUCACGGUGAGGAGAGAAAGUGUGAGCAGAGGAAGGGGAAACCAAGUAGGAAAUGUCCUACCCAUCUCUGCUUUUACAGAGAUGAAUCUGUAGCCAGGGUACCUCCACCAACGGUAAGUCAGAAAGCAGUAACAACUCUGUCAGAAACUUCUGAGAUAGAAAAGAUUCUGCUUCUCAAAUAAGCUAUUUUGGGUAUAGCUCUACUUUCUCUUCCUUCUUCCUUUCAUUUUGUCUUUGUUUUGGCCCUUACAUCUCCCUCUCCAAUCCAUUCCUCAAAACAUGUUUGAAGAGCUGUAUUGUUCUUUAUUCAAUUCUAAAUGCACUACUAACAUCUUGGUAAAAUACUCAAAUCUUCCUGAACAAGCUUUUGUACCCACCCCAAGAUCCUUUCCUUGCCAUCCACAUUGGCUGUUGAGAAAUUUCCUCUUAUUAUGCACUGAGUAGAUGUAAAUCUAUUUAGCAUAAUAGCAGUAGAUUUUCCUGCUGUGUAUUACAAUACCGGAAACCUUUUAAAUAUCACAAAGCUGGACCAUUUUAUAAUCAUCUCUUCUGUUCUCCUUAGUACCUCAAAAUAAUUUCUGAGUUGAGCCAGCUAAUAUCCUCCUGCUUAAGUGUUUCUAAAUCCACUUCAAUUGUGUGUGCACGGAGGGAGGGUUUCCUCCACACUUUCGUCUUCCAUCCCUGUCAUUUAAUGUUCCAGUCCAAUGAUUUUUCCAUUUCUGUUUCCAGUGAGCUCAUUUUAAAGUUCCAAAUGGCUCUUUACAUUUAUAUCCUCUGUUCA
This is a long non-coding RNA of Lagopus muta (rock ptarmigan), 1224 nucleotides long. RefSeq lists it as uncharacterized. NCBI's taxonomy places the organism in Eukaryota, Metazoa, Chordata, Aves, Galliformes, Phasianidae. The record is from RefSeq and is a predicted model, not a curated record. The transcript is spliced from 3 exons.